This 253-nucleotide ribosomal RNA is filed under the name uncultured bacterium. Its description in RNAcentral is "partial 16S ribosomal RNA". It matches the Rfam family "Bacterial small subunit ribosomal RNA", at positions 524 to 776 of the family's 1533-position model. The record is from RNAcentral.
UACAGAGGGUGCAAGCGUUAAUCGGAAUUACUGGGCGUAAAGCGUGCGUAGACGGUCAUGUAAGUCGGGUGUGAAAGCCCGGGGCUCAACCCCGGGUCGGCCGUGGCAACUGUCGAGCUGGAGCACUGUAGAGGCAGGUGGAAUUCCGGGUGUAGCGGUGGAAUGCGUAGAGAUCCGGAAGAACACCGGUGGCGAAGGCGGCCUGCUGGGCAGUGGCUGACGCUGAGGCGCGACAGCGUGGGGAGCAAACAGG